Molecule: unclassified non-coding RNA, 355 nt
Filed under: soil metagenome
Description: partial contains 5.8S ribosomal RNA, internal transcribed spacer 2, and large subunit ribosomal RNA
Rfam family: 5.8S ribosomal RNA (bases 1-120)
Source: RNAcentral
GAUGAAGAACGCAGCGAAAUGCGAUAAGUAGUGUGAAUUGCAGAAUUCAGUGAAUCAUCGAAUCUUUGAACGCACAUUGCGCCUUCUAGUAUUCUGGGAGGCAUGCCUGUUUGAGCGUCAUUAAACCUCUCUCAAGUAUGAUUACUUGGAUGUGAAGGAAGAGUACCUUAAACUUAAGGGGUGUUCUCCUUUGAAAUUGAUUAGCAGAUGGUAAUGUUAUUAAAUCCCUGAUGUUGUAAGAAAUAACAGUGGUUUUGUAGACUAUUAUCUAGCUUUAAAUUAUAAUUUUUAUUAUGGUUGACCUCAAAUCAGGUAAGGAUACCCGCUGAACUUAAGCAUAUCAAUAAGCGGAGGA